GAUGAACGCUGGCGGCGUGCCUAAUACAUGCAAGUCGAGCGAACGGACGAGAAGCUUGCUUCUCUGAUGUUACCGGCGGACGGGUGAGUAACACGUGGAUAACCUACCUAUAAGACUUGGAUAACUUCGGGAAACCGGAGCUAAUACCGGAUAAUAUUUUGAACCGCAUGGUUCAAAAGUGAAAGACGGUCUUGCUGUCACUUAUAGAUGGAUCCGCGCUGCAUUAGCUAGUUGGUAAGGUAACGGCUUACCAAGGCAACGAUGCAUAGCCGACCUGAGAGGGUGAUCGGCCACACUGGAACUGAGACACGGUCCAGACUCCUACGGGAGGCAGCAGUAGGGAAUCUUCCGCAAUGGGCGAAAGCCUGACGGGGCAACGCCGCGUGAGUGAUGAAGGUCUUCGGAUCGUAAAACUCUGUUAUUAGGGAAGAACAUAUGUGUAAGUAACUGUGCACAUCUUGACGGUACCUAAUCAGAAAGCCACGGCUAACUACGUG
Molecule: ribosomal RNA, 497 nt
Filed under: uncultured bacterium
Lineage: Bacteria
Description: partial 16S ribosomal RNA
Rfam family: Bacterial small subunit ribosomal RNA
Source: RNAcentral